This 251-nucleotide ribosomal RNA is filed under the name uncultured bacterium. RNAcentral describes it as "partial 16S ribosomal RNA". It matches the Rfam family "Bacterial small subunit ribosomal RNA", at positions 525 to 775 of the family's 1533-position model. The record is from RNAcentral.
ACGUAUGGGGCAAGCGUUAUCCGGAUUUACUGGGUGUAAAGGGAGCGUAGGCGGUACGGCAAGUCAGAAGUGAAAGCCUGGGGCUCAACCCCGGAAUUGCUUUUGAAACUGUCGAACUAGAGUGUCGGAGGGGUAAGCGGAAUUCCUAGUGUAGCGGUGAAAUGCGUAGAUAUUAGGAGGAACACCGGUGGCGAAGGCGGCUUACUGGACGACCACUGACGCUGAGGCUCGAAAGCGUGGGGAGCAAACAG